GUGUCAGCCGCCGCGGUAAUACGUAGGGUGCAAGCGUUAAUCGGAAUUACUGGGCGUAAAGCGUGCGCAGGCGGUUCGCUAAGACCGAUGUGAAAUCCCCGGGCUUAACCUGGGAACUGCAUUGGUGACUGGCGGGCUAGAGUAUGGCAGAGGGGGGUAGAAUUCCACGUGUAGCAGUGAAAUGCGUAGAGAUGUGGAGGAAUACCGAUGGCGAAGGCAGCCCCCUGGGCCAAUACUGACGCUCAUGCACGAAAGCGUGGGGAGCAAACAGGAUUAGAAACCCCCGUAGUCC
RNAcentral lists this ribosomal RNA (292 nucleotides) under uncultured bacterium. RNAcentral describes it as "partial 16S ribosomal RNA". It matches the Rfam family "Bacterial small subunit ribosomal RNA", at positions 505 to 796 of the family's 1533-position model. The record is from RNAcentral.